AAAUCAUGGUUUAGGCAUCUCCUUAGUAAAGAUUUGAAUCACUCCCAUGUUUCACAGAGAGGUUCAUCAGACCCUUGGAAAAAAGUAGCAAUGGCUGACUUU
Molecule: non-coding RNA, 102 nt
Organism: Glycine max (soybean)
Lineage: Eukaryota; Viridiplantae; Streptophyta; Magnoliopsida; Fabales; Fabaceae
Source: Rfam